GAUGAACGCUGGCGGCGUGCCUAAUACAUGCAAGUAGAACGCUGAAGGAGGAGCUUGCUCUUCUGGAUGAGUUGCGAACGGGUGAGUAACGCGUAGGUAACCUGCCUGGUAGCGGGGGAUAACUAUUGGAAACGAUAGCUAAUACCGCAUGACAACAGUUAUUGCAUGAUAACUGUUUAAAAGGGGCAACUGCUCCACUACCAGAUGGACCUGCGUUGUAUUAGCUAGUUGGUGAGGUAACGGCUCACCAAGGCGACGAUACAUAGCCGACCUGAGAGGGUGAUCGGCCACACUGGGACUGAGACACGGCCCAGACUCCUACGGGAGGCAGCAGUAGGGAAUCUUCGGCAAUGGACGGAAGUCUGACCGAGCAACGCCGCGUGAGUGAAGAAGGUUUUCGGAUCGUAAAGCUCUGUUGUAAGAGAAGAACGAGUGUGAGAGUGGAAAGUUCACGCUGUGACGGUAUCUUACCAGAAAGGGACGGCUAACUACGUG
RNAcentral lists this ribosomal RNA (495 nucleotides) under uncultured bacterium. RNAcentral's name for it is "partial 16S ribosomal RNA". It matches the Rfam family "Bacterial small subunit ribosomal RNA", at positions 28 to 507 of the family's 1533-position model. The record is from RNAcentral.